RNAcentral lists this ribosomal RNA (497 nucleotides) under uncultured bacterium. Its description in RNAcentral is "partial 16S ribosomal RNA". It matches the Rfam family "Bacterial small subunit ribosomal RNA", at positions 28 to 507 of the family's 1533-position model. The record is from RNAcentral.
GAUGAACGCUGGCGGCGUGCCUAAUACAUGCAAGUCGAGCGAACAGACGAGGAGCUUGCUCCUCUGACGUUAGCGGCGGACGGGUGAGUAACACGUGGAUAACCUACCUAUAAGACUGGGAUAGCUUCGGGAAACCGGAGCUAAUACCGGAUAAUAUAUUGAACCGCAUGGUUCAAUAGUGAAAGACGGUUUUGCUGUCACUUAUAGAUGGAUCCGCGCCGCAUUAGCUAGUUGGUAAGGUAACGGCUUACCAAGGCAACGAUGCGUAGCCGACCUGAGAGGGUGAUCGGCCACACUGGAACUGAGACACGGUCCAGACUCCUACGGGAGGCAGCAGUAGGGAAUCUUCCGCAAUGGGCGAAAGCCUGACGGAGCAACGCCGCGUGAGUGAUGAAGGUCUUCGGAUCGUAAAACUCUGUUAUUAGGGAAGAACAAAUGUGUAAGUAACUAUGCAUGUCUUGACGGUACCUAAUCAGAAAGCCACGGCUAACUACGUG